This 543-nucleotide long non-coding RNA is filed under the name Olea europaea (common olive). RNAcentral's name for it is "long non-coding RNA (OEUR_LNC013928)". The record is from RNAcentral. Lineage: Eukaryota; Viridiplantae; Streptophyta; Magnoliopsida; Lamiales; Oleaceae.
CAGGUACGUCUUUUGAUCCUCGGGCUCUUCGAAACUUUGUCAGCACAAGGACAGACGCUCAUCCACAGGGGCAGCCCCCGAGGAAGAAAGGCAAGAAGAGGCCUCGAGGGACUCCUGAGGGUGUGAGGGGGCCUGGCGAAACAUCUCGAGCACAUCCUCAAGUCUCGACCCCUCUGCAACCGAACCUUAGAUCUCCCACUCCUCGGGUCGUCACUCCUCGGCCUCCUUCUGAAGUGGUUGACCUUGAGGACGACCCGUCUCUUACCAGGGACUUUGAGACUUGCCACCUCGCUCCUGAGCUCGUAAAUAAAUACAAGGAGGAGAUCAAGCUCGAGGAUGGGAUGAAGGUCCUCGAGGGUCUUACAGUGAAGGUAAUCUUCAGGCUUUCGACUUUAACCUCAAGCUUUUUUUUUUGUCGAGAUUAAUACUUGUCAUUUUAUUCAUUUUUUCCAGAUGUUGAGUAUAGCUCGAGGACUUUCUCUGCAAGGGCUCGAGGAGGCCAAGAGGGCAGCUGGGGUCGAGACGUCCAUGGCCUCUAAGGAC